Molecule: long non-coding RNA, 484 nt
Organism: Erythranthe guttata (spotted monkey flower)
Lineage: Eukaryota; Viridiplantae; Streptophyta; Magnoliopsida; Lamiales; Phrymaceae
Source: RefSeq, a predicted model, not a curated record
UUUCUAUUAUUAUUAAAACCAAAUCCCCCUUUUUUUUUUUGUUUUUCUCUCAGAUCCCUAAUUUCGAAUUUUUUCAUUUCUUCUCGAUCUCGAUGAAUUCCAUGGUGAUGAUUAUCGUUGGGUUUAUGUUGAUGGCAAUUACCCACUGCGCUUCCGCACACGGCGGCGCCGCCCCUGCCCCUGCCCCUUCACCUGCUCCUUCCAACGACGGUGCGGCGGUUGAUCAAGGGAUUGCUUACCUUCUGAUGCUUCUUGCGCUGGCGAUCACGUAUUUAAUUCACUGAAUACUAUUCUUUUUUUUUUUUUUUUUUUUUUAAGUUUCAUAGAAAUUGUUUUUAUUAUUAUUAUAUAAUAUUCAAUUAUUUUUUGUAUUUUCUCCUGUUAUUAGAUAGGGAAAAAUCCUCCAUCUUUUUAAAUCUUUGUAGCUUUUGCUUGUAGAGAAAUUCCGAGGAAAUCGAUAUAUUAAUUAUUGAAUUUUUUUAUA